RNAcentral lists this ribosomal RNA (446 nucleotides) under uncultured bacterium. RNAcentral's name for it is "bacterial SSU rRNA". It matches the Rfam family "Bacterial small subunit ribosomal RNA", at positions 338 to 795 of the family's 1533-position model. The record is from RNAcentral.
CCUACGGUGGGCUGCAGUGGGGAAUAUUGCACAAUGGGCGGAAGCCUGAUGCAGCGACGCCGCGUGGGGGAUGACGGCCUUCGGGUUGUAAACUCCUUUCACCAUCGACGAAGGGUUUCUGACGGUAGAUGGAGAAGAAGCACCGGCUAACUACGUGCCAGCAGCCGCGGUAAUACGUAGGGUGCGAGCGUUGUCCGGAAUUACUGGGCGUAAAGAGCUCGUAGGUGGUUUGUCGCGUCGUCUGUGAAAUUCCGGGGCUUAACUCCGGGCGUGCAGGCGAUACGGGCAUAACUUGAGUACUGUAGGGGAGACUGGAAUUCCUGGUGUAGCGGUGAAAUGCGCAGAUAUCAGGAGGAACACCGGUGGCGAAGGCGGGUCUCUGGGCAGUAACUGACGCUGAGGAGCGAAAGCAUGGGGAGCGAACAGGAUUAGAUACCCUAGUAGUC